CCCUGGGUGGUGUAAACAGUUAACACGCUUAGCUGUUAACCAAAUGGUUAGUGGUUCGAGUCCACCCAGAGG
Molecule: transfer RNA, 72 nt
Organism: Loxodonta africana (African savanna elephant)
Lineage: Eukaryota; Metazoa; Chordata; Mammalia; Proboscidea; Elephantidae
Rfam family: tRNA
About the family: Transfer RNA (tRNA) molecules are approximately 80 nucleotides in length. Their secondary structure includes four short double-helical elements and three loops (D, anti-codon, and T loops).
Source: Rfam